GGGCUAGGCCCCAUUUUCUCCAUUUCCGCCUAAAUUACGUGCCCAAAGUAAACUGCCUGUUGCUCAUGCCCUGAAGCCAGGAUAUGCAUAUAAUUGGUACCAUUGGAAAGAAAACACUUUGCAUUUUGUAGAAAUGUUAAAAUCAUUUAGGAGAAUAUAACACAAUAGAUAUGGUUGGAGAAAAUCCAAAGAAAAACCAACCAUCCUCUUAGAAAGGUUAAAGUCCCCAGGAGACUGUCAGGAUGACAGGAUGACACAUUACACCCCAGUCAUCAGAUGGCAUACCUACAAAGCCACUGGAGCACAAACAUAUCGCCAG
This 319-nucleotide long non-coding RNA is filed under the name Salmo salar (Atlantic salmon). RNAcentral's name for it is "lncRNA (ENSSSAG00000084609.1, ENSSSAG00000100871.1)". Lineage: Eukaryota; Metazoa; Chordata; Actinopteri; Salmoniformes; Salmonidae. The record is from RNAcentral.